Long non-coding RNA from Hypanus sabinus (Atlantic stingray), 353 nucleotides. RefSeq lists it as uncharacterized. NCBI's taxonomy places the organism in Eukaryota, Metazoa, Chordata, Chondrichthyes, Myliobatiformes, Dasyatidae. The transcript is spliced from 3 exons. The record is from RefSeq and is a predicted model, not a curated record.
CUGGGUGUGGAAGGUGGUGUAAGUGUGGAGGUGCUGGGUGUGGAAGGUGUAAGUGUGGAGGUGCUGGGUGUGGAAGGUGUAAGUGUGGACGUGCUGGGUGUGGAAGGUGGUGUAAGUGUGGAGGUGCUGGGUGUGGAAGGUGUAAGUGCGGAGGUGCUGGGUGUGGAAGGUGUAAGUGUGGACGUGCUGGGUGUGGAAGGUGUAAGUGUGGACGUGCUGGGUGUGGAAGGUGGUGUAAGUGUGGAGGUGCUGGGUGUGGAAGGUGUAAGUGCGGAGGUGCUGGGUGUGGAAGGUGUAAGUGUGGACGUGCUGGGUGUGGAAGGUGUAAGUGUGGACGUGCUGGGUGUGGAAGG